CAGUAGCCACGGUAAUACGGAGGGUGCAAGCGUUAAUCGGAAUUACUGGGCGUAAAGCGCACGCAGGCGGUUUGUUAAGUCAGAUGUGAAAUCCCCGGGCUCAACCUGGGAACUGCAUUUGAAACUGGCAAGCUAGAGUCUCGUAGAGGGGGGUAGAAUUCCAGGUGUAGCGGUGAAAUGCGUAGAGAUCUGGAGGAAUACCGGUGGCGAAGGCGGCCCCCUGGACGAAGACUGACGCUCAGGUGCGAAAGCGUGGGGAGCAAACAGGAUUAGAUACCCGUGUAGUCCCUGUCUCUUAUAC
This 301-nucleotide ribosomal RNA is filed under the name uncultured bacterium. RNAcentral describes it as "partial 16S ribosomal RNA". It matches the Rfam family "Bacterial small subunit ribosomal RNA", at positions 509 to 807 of the family's 1533-position model. The record is from RNAcentral.